UGGAAAUAUGGACUUACACUUGGCUGA
RNAcentral lists this non-coding RNA (27 nucleotides) under Homo sapiens (human). Lineage: Eukaryota; Metazoa; Chordata; Mammalia; Primates; Hominidae. The record is from RNAcentral.